This 341-nucleotide unclassified non-coding RNA is filed under the name Radix natalensis. RNAcentral describes it as "sequence contains ITS2". The record is from RNAcentral. Lineage: Eukaryota; Metazoa; Mollusca; Gastropoda; Lymnaeidae.
UCGUGCGACGCGCUCUGGACCGUCGCGGCCAUAAAAUCCAGCGCCCGCUCGCCCGCUCGCUGAGCGGCCUGGUGGCCCCGUGGUCUUAAGCACAAGCCGCGCCGUUGUCCGUGUUCGUCUCGUGACGUCCGCGACGCCGCCUUGCUCUCGGCGGCGGCCAAAUUUCCUCUGCGUCACCGCUAAGCGGGACCCGGCUCGCUCUCGCUAACGGGCCCGCUUAUCAUCAAAAGCUCGAGGGUGAUUGCGGAGGAGAGAAAGCUUACGCCGACGCUCGCUUGACAAAUCGGCGCCCGGUACGAAUCUUGAAGAUUUUACUCCGACCUCAGAUCGGACGAGAUUAC